GGGGGGGGGGGGGGGGGGGGCGGGGACGGGGGGGGCGGGCGGGGGGGGCGGGGGUGGUGGCGCGCGGGUGGGGGACGCGUGGGAAGCUGCCCUGGGGGUGGGCGUAACAGUUGGACACGACUGCCAAUACCGGAGGCGGACGUAAGUCCAAAGAUUUAUCGCCCAAGGAUGAGCCCGCGUAGGAUUAGCUAGUUGGUGAGGUAAAGGCUCACCAAGGCGACGAUCCUUAGCUGGUCUGAGAGGAUGAUCAGCCACACUGGGACUGAGACACGGCCCAGACUCCUACGGGAGGCAGCAGUGGGGAAUAUUGGACAAUGGGCGAAAGCCUGAUCCAGCAAUGCCGCGUGAGUGAUGAAGGCCUUAGGGUUGUAAAGCUCUUUUACCCGGGAUGAUAAUGACAGUACCGGGAGAAUAAGCGCCGGCUAACUCCGUG
This 433-nucleotide ribosomal RNA is filed under the name uncultured bacterium. Its description in RNAcentral is "partial 16S ribosomal RNA". It matches the Rfam family "Bacterial small subunit ribosomal RNA", at positions 35 to 507 of the family's 1533-position model. The record is from RNAcentral.